AAACUAACAAGGAUUCCCCUAGUAACUGCGAGUGAAGCGGGAAAAGCUCAAAUUUAAAAUCUGGCGGUCUCUGGCUGUCCGAGUUGUAAUCUAGAGAAGUGUUGCCCGCGCUGGACCGUGUACAAGUCUCCUGGAAUGGAGCGUCAUAGAGGGUGAGAAUCCCGUCUUUGACACGGACUACCAGGGCUUUGUGGUACGCUCUCAAAGAGUCGAGUUGUUUGGGAAUGCAGCUCAAAAUGGGUGGUAAAUUCCAUCUAAAGCUAAAUAUUGGCGAGAGACCGAUAGCGAACAAGUACCGUGAGGGAAAGAUGAAAAGAACUUUGGAAAGAGAGUUAAACAGUACGUGAAAUUGCUGAAAGGGAAACGCUUGAAGUCAGUCGCGUUGGCCGGGGAUCAGCCUCGCUCUUUUGCGUGGUGUUCUUUCCGGUCGACGGGUCAGCAUCAAUUUUGAUCGCUGGAAAAAGGCCUGAGGAAUGUGGCAGCUCCGGCUGUGUUAUAGCUUCUGGUCACAUACAGCGGUUGGGAUUGAGGAACUCAGCACGCCGCAAGGCCGGGUUUCGACCACGUUCGUGCUUAGGAUGCUG
RNAcentral lists this ribosomal RNA (584 nucleotides) under Leucocoprinus leucothites. RNAcentral's name for it is "LSU rRNA". It matches the Rfam family "Eukaryotic large subunit ribosomal RNA", at positions 62 to 628 of the family's 3401-position model. The record is from RNAcentral. Lineage: Eukaryota; Fungi; Basidiomycota; Agaricomycetes; Agaricales; Agaricaceae.